This is a small nuclear RNA of Ursus americanus (American black bear), 108 nucleotides long. The record is from Ensembl. NCBI's taxonomy places the organism in Eukaryota, Metazoa, Chordata, Mammalia, Carnivora, Ursidae.
GGGCUGGCUUUGCCAGUACGGAUCCUAAGAGUGGGAGUUUACAGAGAAGGUGAGCAUUGGCCCCUGUGCAAGGAUGACAUGCAAAUUUGUGAAACGUUCCAUAUUUUG